GCUUUCGGGGUGUGGUAGCAUAUAAGCCUUCCAAGCUUAAGGCCCCUACGGGGCGAAAGUA
RNAcentral lists this transfer RNA (61 nucleotides) under Pinctada imbricata (Akoya pearl oyster). Its description in RNAcentral is "tRNA-Gly". The record is from RNAcentral. Lineage: Eukaryota; Metazoa; Mollusca; Bivalvia; Pterioida; Pteriidae.